AGGCACCAUUUUUUUGGCUCCUCGGAGUUUGAACUCGCUGGUUCGGUUGGGGUUGAUUGCUUCGGAGCAGAGUCUCGAUCCCAGUGGUUCCAGCCUUUCUCUCGCGCGAUAGCCGCCGACUUUGGAGAUUCCUCAUCAUCGACUGAGCUAACGUAGCCUCGCUUCUGAGUGGUAUUUCCACCUUAGGAGUGCUGGCGAGGCUCGGGGCGGGGGUCGUUUGUUCGGGAGGAUCGCUGUCUCGCCGCU
RNAcentral lists this long non-coding RNA (246 nucleotides) under Brassica napus (rape). Its description in RNAcentral is "long non-coding RNA (BNAP_LNC015198)". The record is from RNAcentral. Lineage: Eukaryota; Viridiplantae; Streptophyta; Magnoliopsida; Brassicales; Brassicaceae.